This 500-nucleotide ribosomal RNA is filed under the name uncultured bacterium. RNAcentral describes it as "partial 16S ribosomal RNA". It matches the Rfam family "Bacterial small subunit ribosomal RNA", at positions 30 to 523 of the family's 1533-position model. The record is from RNAcentral.
AUUGAACGCUGGCGGAAUGCUUUACACAUGCAAGUCGAACGGCAGCACGGGGGCAACCCUGGUGGCGAGUGGCGAACGGGUGAGUAAUACAUCGGAACGUGCCCAGUCGUGGGGGGUAACGUAGCGAAAGUUACGCUAAUACCGCAUACGAUCUACGGAUGAAAGCGGGGGACCGUAAGGCCUCGCGCGAUUGGAGCGGCCGAUGUCAGAUUAGGUAGUUGGUGAGGUAAAGGCUCACCAAGCCGACGAUCUGUAGCUGGUCUGAGAGGACGACCGGCCACACGGGGACUGAAAAACGGCCCAGACUCCGACGGGAGGCAUCGGUGGGGAAUUUUGGACAAUGGGCGCAAGCCUGAUCCAGCCAUUCCGCGUGCAGGACGAAGGCCUUCGGGUUGUAAACUGCUUUUGUACAGAACGAAAAGGUUUCUACUAAUACUAGGAGCUCAUGACGGUACUGUAAGAAUAAGCACCGGCUAACUACGUGCCAGCCGCCGCCGUAA